UCAACGCUCACCAUGAAGAUCCCUCUCUCCUUAUCCGUGCUCCUAACCAGCCUGUGUGUCCACUGUGUGAAUGGCCAGAGUUUGGACUCUAUUCCUAGUCAUGCAGUACUGAGUAAUCCUGGUGGAACUGUCAGCCUCUCUUGUAAGGCUAUAGGAUAUAAUUUUGGAGAUUAUGGCAUGAGCUGGAUACGACAGCCUCGUGGAAAGCCCUUACAGUGGAUUGGGCACAUCAAUACUGCAAGUGGAGAAACAUUCUACAGUAAAAGUCUUGAAGGAAGAAUUGAAAUAACAAAAGAUAACAGUAAAGGCAUUUCAUACUUCAAGUUGUCUGGCCUGACUGUAGAAGACACAGCUGUGUAUCACUGUGCCCGAAAACACAGUGACACAAACAGAUGACAAGGAUGUACAAAAAGUUCAGUUCCUGAAUUUGAUAUACGUCUGUCUUCCUGAAUACAGUGGGCAGACAAUGUUAAAAUAUAAACUCGCAAUAUUAUGGUGUAAAGGCAGGGAAUAAAAUUAUAUAAAUAAACCCUGAAUGCCCAAAGUACUCCUUCACACAAAUAGCUUAAGAAAAUGUACAGAACAUUAAUCCUACAAUUACUACUACAGUGUAGCUAAUAUGCUACGAUGCCUACUGUAGGUUCUGGUACUAGACUAUAGUACCAGAAUGCCUGGUGUAUAGUACGAUGCCUA
Non-coding RNA from Ictalurus punctatus (channel catfish), 693 nucleotides. NCBI's taxonomy places the organism in Eukaryota, Metazoa, Chordata, Actinopteri, Siluriformes, Ictaluridae. The record is from the annotation of a RefSeq genome assembly.